GAGUUUGAUCUUGGCUCAGAUUGAACGCUGGCGGCAUGCCUUACACAUGCAAGUCGAACGGCAGCGCGGGCAACCUGGCGGCGAGUGGCGAACGGGUGAGUAAUAUAUCGGAACGUACCCUGGAGUGGGGGAUAACGUAGCGAAGGUUACGCUAAUACCGCAUACGAUCUAAGGAUGAAAGUGGGGGCUUCGCAAGAACCUCAUGCUCCUGGAGCGGCCGAUAUCUGAUUAGCUAGUUGGUAAGGGUAAAAGCCUAACCAAGGCUUCGAUCAGUAGCUGGUCUGAGAGGACGACCAGCCACAC
RNAcentral lists this ribosomal RNA (303 nucleotides) under uncultured bacterium. RNAcentral describes it as "bacterial SSU rRNA". It matches the Rfam family "Bacterial small subunit ribosomal RNA", at positions 9 to 313 of the family's 1533-position model. The record is from RNAcentral.